GGGCCAGUAGCUCAGCUGGUUAGAGCGGCGGACUCAUAAUCCGUUGGUCCCAGGUUCAAGUCCUGGCUGGCCCACCA
RNAcentral lists this transfer RNA (77 nucleotides) under Chromatiales bacterium. RNAcentral describes it as "tRNA-Ile". It matches the Rfam family "tRNA". From Rfam's summary of the family: Transfer RNA (tRNA) molecules are approximately 80 nucleotides in length. The record is from RNAcentral. Lineage: Bacteria; Pseudomonadati; Pseudomonadota; Gammaproteobacteria; Chromatiales.